RNAcentral lists this ribosomal RNA (449 nucleotides) under uncultured bacterium. Its description in RNAcentral is "partial 16S ribosomal RNA". It matches the Rfam family "Bacterial small subunit ribosomal RNA", at positions 28 to 523 of the family's 1533-position model. The record is from RNAcentral.
GACGAACGCUGGCGGCAUGCCUAAUACAUGCAAGUCGAACGAACACUUCGGUGUUAGUGGCGCACGGGUGCGUAACGCGUGGGAAUCUGCCCUUGGGUUCGGAAUAACGUCGGGAAACUGACGCUAAUACCGGAUGAUGACGAAAGUCCAAAGAUUUAUCACCCAGGGAUGAGCCCGCGUAGGAUUAGCCAGUUGGUGGGGUAAAGGCCUACCAAGGCGACGAUCCUUAGCUGGUCUGAGAGGAUGAUCAGCCACACUGGGACUGAGACACGGCCCAGACUCCUACGGGAGGCAGCAGUAGGGAAUAUUGGACAAUGGGGGCAACCCUGAUCCAGCAAUGCCGCGUGAGUGAUGAAGGCCUUAGGGUUGUAAAGCUCUUUUACCCGGGAUGAUAAUGACAGUACCGGGAGAAUAAGCCCCGGCUAACUCCGUGCCAGCCGCCGCCGUAA